AAAUUAAAUUUGGUUUUUAAAGAAAAAAUUCUAAUUUUUUUAUACAUUUUUUAAAAAACAAAAAAUAGAAAAUUUAUUUUUUUAAAUAAUUAAUAAUUAUUAAGAGUUAGAGUAAAUUUCUAGCUAAAUUUGUGCCAGCAGCAGCGGUUAGACAAAUAGAAAAAUUCUUUUUAUAAUAAAAUUUAAAAAAUAAAUUUAAUUAAAGUUAUUAAAAAUUAAGGUGAAAUUUUUUUUUAAUUAAAUCUUGUAUAAAAUUAAAAUUCUUAUAAUAAACUAGGAUUAGAUACCCUAUUAUUUAGAGCUUUACAUUGUAAGUAAAUAAUAAUUACGAAAGCAAAAAAUUAUGGCGGUAUUUUAAGCUUCUCAGAGGAAUUUGCUCUUUAAUGGAUAAAACACCUAAAUCUUACUUAAAUUUGUUAAGUCAAUUUGUAUACCACUAUUAAAUUAAUUAAUAAUUUUAAUUUAUAAAAUUUAUAUAAAUUUAAAAAAAAUUAAGUCAAGGUGCAGUAAAAGUUUAAGAAUGAAGUGAAUUACAAUUCUUUUAAGAGAUUAUUUAAAUUAAAAUUUUAAUUUAGGAUUUGAAAGUAAAAUUAAAAUAGAAUGUUAAUUUGAAUUAAGCUCUAAAAUAUGUACAUAUCGCCCGUCACUCUUUAUUAAGAUAAGUCGUAACAAAGUUAAAAUACUGGAAAGUGUUUU
This 696-nucleotide ribosomal RNA is filed under the name Rhipicephalus microplus (southern cattle tick). RNAcentral's name for it is "12S ribosomal RNA". The record is from RNAcentral. Lineage: Eukaryota; Metazoa; Arthropoda; Arachnida; Ixodida; Ixodidae.